CAGACCACAACGCCGCCCCCAAAUCACGCCACACCCUAUCCACCCGCUCCCUCCACCAGACCGCCGCCGCCCCCAAAUCACGCCCAAUCCACCCGUGCCCUCCACCAGACCACCGCCGCCGCCCCAAACCUUCCCACCGCCGGCGCCCGCGGCCACUUUAGACCACUGCUGGUGUAGCCCCCAACCACUGCAGCUCCUCCGCCGCCCACAAGUCAACACCCCAUCCACCCUCCACCGGACAGCAAGCCGCGGCGGCCCCCAACCAUCCCGCCGUCGACCCGCAACCAUCCCACCGCCGACGGCCGCCCUCCAACCAAAUCACCGACGCCGUCGCCCCCCAUCACGGUAGCCCCUCCACCAUCCUCUGCCGCCCCAACAACCACUCCACUACACCCGGCCACCACCAUCGUCGCCCCACUCCAGAGCAGCGCCGUCGAGCACCCGUUUGACAGGGAGCACCACCGUCGUCGCCGAGCCACUCCACCGGCAGCCACCAUCCUCCGGGAACGCCUUCCUCGCCACUAACCUACUCGCGCGCUUCCUUCUCGAGCAGGCCUCCCCGCAAGCGUCACCGAGCACCAAGCCGCGGGCCUGCCCCCUCCACACGCCCCUGAAGCAGCAAACCCUCGGCCCUCCUCUCCAGCGAGCAGCUCUGCAUCCUCAACAUCUUUUCCCUGGACAUACCUGCCUCCUGUAAUUCAAGUGACAGCCUGAUAGGUGACAUUUUGUUGCAAUUUCUGUGCUUUUUUUGUUCUGAAUGUGCAGCUACGCAAUGUGUAGAAGUGGUACAGGCCUGUAGUUAGAACAAAUCAUCAAUUUUUAAAUGCUUUGAUCUAAUAACAGCGAAAAAACCAUGAGCCAGUCACGUUUGAAGGUUCUUUGCUUGUCUAAAAACGAAAUUAGAUUCUUUGUUUGAUCUAAUUGCUUUGAAGACUAUUACUGUUAGUAGCCCUUCAGAUCAAAGGACUGGGACCAUUAUAUUGGUGAUUAACAAAUGCAUACCUUAAUUAGAUUCGUUGACACCAGACUAAGUUGUUUAGUUGAGGUUUGGAGUUCAUUUUAAUUUGAGAUGAAAGAAAGCUAAUCAUUUUAAGUUUUUGUUCGUUUAUUUGACGCUCCAAAGUAGUACCAUCUUUGUUUGUGUUUUGAGAAAUAUGAUAUGUGGACAGAACAGGUGCUUCAUAGAUCCAGACAACAUUCAGAUUCUUGGAGAUGUCCAUGUCCCCACACAUUCUAUUUCCAAUACAUAGAACUUUAGAACCCAAGCAUAAGCUUUCUGGAUGUCUCAGGUAUGGAAUUAGUCACUACUGCAAGCCUUGUCUACACUUCACAAGUUAUAUGGAUCAAGUUAAUUUUUAGCAGAACAACAUGUGAAAUAUUACUUUUGGAUGUGUUGAAUCAACUUAAAUGCACCAUGUUUCCUUCUUGACCAAAAGGUGCUCGAGUUCUUUGCCUAAUGUGGGUACUGAUUUUUUCUGAAUCUUGGUCUAGCAUAUUAAAGGAGCCUUGACUGUUGACAAUUCCACAACUUUAUUGUAUCUUUUCUCAUGAUAUAUGAAAGUAUUUUCCAGUCUGCUGCCAGAUUGUUCAGACAACGUGUCACAGCCUUUUCUGCAGAUAAUAUGCUAGCAUGUCUUCUGAUUAGUUUAACACAUGGAUUGCCAAAGCUUUUCAUCUGCUAUGUUGCCUGAUAGUUCCAGCCUAUUGGGUUUUCAUGUGCUUGCUUGUGAGAUGAAUGCAUGGUAUAACAUCAAAAGUUGUAUGAUUCUACUAUUUCUCCCUUAUAAAUCAAUAGGUUAGUACAAAAUCUAGGAGUGAGUUCCUAUUAGCCUACCAUUAUUCUUCUGUUUCAUAAAUGUUCCAUUGAUUUCUUGCUUAUAUCCUAAAGGCAGAUUUGUUUAAAUUUAGUUUGCAAAAAACCAUUAUCCAAUCCAUGCUAUGUCUUUUUACUACUGGCCUUGUUCUUCCUAAUAGAUGAAUGCAUGGAAGGACUGUACAGAUGCUUGUUCUUGAGACAUGGCAUUCUGGACUAGGAGAGUCAAGUAGAAGGCCUGUAUAGUGUAAUAGUUACUCCCUCCGUCCCAUAAUGUAAGACGCUUUUGCAAGCUUUGUUAGUUUGCAAAAACGUCUUAUAUUGUGGGACGGAGGGAGUAGAAAAUACUGAAACUGUCCCAAAAGGGAAGGAUGGUUACCCUCCUUGUUUUGAAGAGGUAAAACAAGUUACAUGCAUUAAUUUGUUGGUACCAUCACCCUGAUUUGACGACGAGGUGGUCUUUAGCUUGAACAAUAAUUUCCCUAAUCUGUUUAUGGUUCAAACCGCCAAAAUAAGAUAUUUUUCCUUACGAAGUGCUUAAUGGCUUUAUUGUAUUUUCUUUUGUCAUGAUACGGCGUGUUCAACUACACAUCUUCUGUCAAUUUGCUCGGAAUAUUGCCUCUGUUCCGUUGACAGUGUCAGAACAUUGGAUUCAUGCAUUUGAUGUCCUCUUGGAUCCAGAUUGGAAUAAAAUUAAAUGUGUUCCUUUAAUUUGCAUAGUUUCCCGGUUGCUUUCUUUGCAAAUAGAAAAUGUGUUCCUUUAAUUUGGGUAGUUUUUUUGUAACCUAUCAUGCUUUUCUUUCUUUUCACUGAAAACAAAGUGCAUUCUUUUGUACCAAAAAUUCCAAGAGCACAUGAACUGUAGACUGUACACAUGUACUUCCUUUUUUAAUCUGCAGCCGCUUGCUUUCAAUGUUAUUUUUGGAAGGGUGUAGGCGAGUAUGUAACAAAGGUAACACUGAUCAGCAUGUGAUUUUUUCUUCUUGGUAAUUUGUUGUUCCUUUGAUCUUCUAUUUUGCAUUCCUCAUAGAAUCUAUGAUCUUACAAGGGCUAUCUCUAUGAGCUGAACAAUUGCAGCAGAAGACACACUCAAAUUCAGAGUUUAAAGCAUGAUGAGUAAUGUUGUGAGAGCUUGUUGAUGAUUUGCCUAUUUUUCACAAAAAUGGGACGUGUUGGAUGGUCUAUGUGAGGUUCUCUAAGAAAAAAUGUUCCUCACAUUUCUGUUCUGGUUGUACGAUGAAUUUUUUUCCUCAUUUUUUCUGUUCUUGAGAAUCAUGGAAACCUCAUCGAGGACUAAGUCAACUUUUUAUGCUUAACCAACUUCUUUUUCAUUACUUAUUCAGAACGGAAAGAAUGUGAUACUGUAUAGUGUUUAUCGAGACCAUGGUAGCCCAGUGGCAAAAGCAACCAUUUUAUAAAAAGGGGUGAUAUAUUACCUCGUGGUGUUGGGAACGUGACCACCAUGGGGCAAGCUCAAGGGCGAUGUAUCGCAUGGCCAUACAAGCAUUUGGAAGUGCACAAGUCCAUGGAAAAUGCAGGAAUGCGACCACAAGCUAGCUGAGGAGGUAAUAUACAUGUUUCUCCUGGCUGCUAAGUAUGUGUUGAAGGAAAUAUGCCCUAGAGACAAUAAUAAAGUUAUUAUUUAUUUCCUUAUA
Molecule: non-coding RNA, 3468 nt
Organism: Aegilops tauschii subsp. strangulata
Lineage: Eukaryota; Viridiplantae; Streptophyta; Magnoliopsida; Poales; Poaceae
Source: RefSeq, a predicted model, not a curated record